ACCACUUUGUGCUUCAUGACUGGGGUGAAGUCGUAACAAGGUAACCGUAGGGGAACCUGCGGUUGGAUCACCUCCUUA
RNAcentral lists this ribosomal RNA (78 nucleotides) under Salmonella enterica subsp. enterica. RNAcentral describes it as "partial 16S ribosomal RNA". It matches the Rfam family "Bacterial small subunit ribosomal RNA", at positions 1456 to 1533 of the family's 1533-position model. The record is from RNAcentral. Lineage: Bacteria; Pseudomonadati; Pseudomonadota; Gammaproteobacteria; Enterobacterales; Enterobacteriaceae.